RNAcentral lists this ribosomal RNA (499 nucleotides) under uncultured Sphingobacteriales bacterium. Its description in RNAcentral is "bacterial SSU rRNA". It matches the Rfam family "Bacterial small subunit ribosomal RNA", at positions 903 to 1382 of the family's 1533-position model. The record is from RNAcentral. Lineage: Bacteria; Pseudomonadati; Bacteroidota; Sphingobacteriia; Sphingobacteriales.
GCCAGCCCGCUCAGAAACUUAAAGGAAGUUGACGGGGCCCGCACAAGCGGAGGAGCAUGUGGUUUAAUUCGAUGAUACGCGAGGAACCUUACCUGGGCUCGAACGUAAGAUGACUGUAGGUGAAAGCUUACAUCUCUUCGGAGCAUUUUACGAGGUGCUGCAUGGUUGUCGUCAGCUCGUGCCGUGAGGUGUCGGGUUAAGUCCCAUAACGAGCGCAACCCCUACCUUUAGUUGCCAUCAGGUAAUGCUGGGGACUCUAAAGGAACUGCCUACGCAAGUAGUGAGGAAGGCGGGGAUGACGUCAAAUCAGCACGGCCCUUACGUCCAGGGCUACACACGUGCUACAAUGGCCGAUACAGAGGGCAGCUACCUGGUGACAGGAUGCAAAUCUCCAAAGUCGGUCUCAGUUCGGAUCGGAGUCUGCAACCCGACUCCGUGAAGUUGGAUUCGCUAGUAAUCGCGCAUCAGCCAUGGCGCGGUGAAUACGUUCCCGGGCCUU